This 270-nucleotide ribosomal RNA is filed under the name uncultured bacterium. Its description in RNAcentral is "partial 16S ribosomal RNA". It matches the Rfam family "Bacterial small subunit ribosomal RNA", at positions 28 to 294 of the family's 1533-position model. The record is from RNAcentral.
GAUGAACGCUAGCGGCAGGCUUAAUACAUGCAAGUCGAGGGGCAGCACAGGUAGCAAUACUGGGUGGCGACCGGCAAACGGGUGCGGAACACGUACGCAACCUUCCUUUAAGUGGAGAAUAGCCCCAGGGAAACUUGGAUUAAUACUCCGUAAGACAAUGGAGUGGCAUCACUCAGUUGUUAAAGUUACGACGCUUAAAGAUGGGCGUGCGGCUGAUUAGGUAGUUGGCGGAGUAACAGCCCACCAAGCCAACGAUCAGUAACUGGUGUG